UAUAAACCAACUAUGGCCUCUCCGUCGCGUUUCCUUCUGGUCCUUUCUCAUUGUGACGUCAAACUCUAUUGGUUGGAUUGGGCCUGAGGUUUAGGUCAGAGACAGAGACAAGGGCUGUGCUUAGACAGGCCACUUAUGAUAUUUUAUCCAUUAAUUGGCCUUUUGACAUAUCACAUCAGAUAUUUUCGCAUUAGCUUCUUUUCAGAGCAUAUCAGAUUGGUCAAAAGACCAAAUACCAGGGAUGCAAACUAGUCACCUUUCGGUGAAUCAAAAAUAGGUAACAUACAUGAUUCGUGUAGAGCUGAUGAGAAAAGUUUGGGAGGGAGGGCUUUGGACCACUACUGGCUGUAAGCAAAUGACUGAUGCGCAUUUGGAGUAAUACUGGCUGUAUCCAAGGCUCAGUCAAUCAGUCACAUUACAACAGAAUGCAGCAUGCGACUGAAGAGAGAAGAGACAACCAGCAGUUACAGCAUCAGCGCUCGCUCUGGAAAGACAGCAGCGUGUGGAAAGGCAGUUUGCCAGUUACAGCAGCGCGUCCCCUGAACGAUAACGAAGAGGUAGGAUCCCUGGAAUUUAACGAGACUGCCCCUGCUUGGCUUGGGAGUGGGACCCUGUGUGCUCAGACAACGGCAUCACCUACACCUCCCCCUGCCUCGCAGUCUGCUGCAGCUUUACAGGAUACGGAACGAACACCGUAUUAUUAAUAAUGUCCUGAGUGUACAAAACAUUCACAGGGAUGCUGGCCCAUGUUGACUCCAAUGCUUCCCACAGUUGUGUCAAGUUGGCUGUAUGUCUUUUGAGUGGUGGACCAUUCUUGAUGCACACGGGAAACUCUAGAGCGUUGAUUAAAAACGGCAGCGUUGCAGUUCUUGACACAAACUGGUGCCCCUGGCACCUACUACCAUGCCCUGUUCAAAAGCACGUAACUAUUUUGUCUUGCCCAUUAACCCUCUGAAUGGCACACAUACACAAUCCAUUUCUCAACUGCCUUACAAUAUAUUUUUUUUACCUGUCUCCUCUUUAUCUACACUGAGUGGAUUUAACAAGUAACAUCCGUAAGGGAUUAUAGCUUUCACCUGGUCAGCAUAUGUCCUGGAAAGAGCAGGUGUUCUUAAUGUUUUGUACACUCAGUGUAACUCAAUGGCACUGAAAUAAGUUAUUUUCAACCAUUACCUGGUACCUUGUUGGGGCCUUAUCUCCCACCUGGGAUGAAGAGGACUAAGUAAGUAAUUGCUGAUUGGCAAUAAACUAUUAUUUUGAUAUGUGGAAAAAAU
This is a long non-coding RNA of Oncorhynchus tshawytscha (Chinook salmon), 1274 nucleotides long. The record is from Ensembl. NCBI's taxonomy places the organism in Eukaryota, Metazoa, Chordata, Actinopteri, Salmoniformes, Salmonidae.